Non-coding RNA from Phascolarctos cinereus (koala), 1428 nucleotides. The record is from RefSeq and is a predicted model, not a curated record. Lineage: Eukaryota; Metazoa; Chordata; Mammalia; Diprotodontia; Phascolarctidae.
GUGAGAUAUGAAGACUUCCACUGAGUUAGCCAACCAGUUAAAGAUUUUAUCUACAAGGUAACAGACACCUCUUACUCCAAGAAGAUCACUCAACCCUGGGCUUCUCACGGUCCCUCCAUUCACUGAAGACCCUGCUCACACACCAUCUUCAAGAUAAAAUCUUCCCUGGGGACUUCCAGUGCCAAGAUGGUGGAGUAAAGAAGGAAUCCUCUGCAGCCCUCCCAAACUCCCCUCCAAACAACUAAAAACUUGCCUCAGAAUUGAUGUAGGGAAACAGCUUACCUGCAUGGCAGGAAAGGUCUGUAUCAUUGGGUUGGGAGGGGAGUAAGGUCCAAGAGCAGCAGCAGCCAGCCUCACAACAGGGGGCCUACAGCAAGGCUCCAGCCUGGGGCAAUUCACCAGUGAGUCCCCACCCUCCUGCAGACCCGCAGACCCCUAGGCAAGUGAGCAGUAUGCAGCUUAGCAAGGCCCCACCCUAGCCACCCAUCCCUAGCACAAGCCACCAGCCAGGCCUGACCAGCAGUGAGGUCCUGACCUGAGGCUGGCCAACAGAGAUACCCCACCCCUGGGGCCUAGGAGCAGAGAGAUGCUGUUUCCAUUGCCACCCAGCAGCAGGGUUCUUCAGGGUCAGGGCCAGAAUUUGAACCCAUGUCUCCUAUCCCCAAACCCAGGGAUCUUUCUAUGUGGUCAGUGUCACCUGGUGACAGGUGACAGGACAGCUGGGCUCCUCCUCUCUCAGAGGACGCACAGCAGCCGUUGGGAGAAGGGGCACACAGCUUUAUCAGAGCAAACUUGAUUUAGAUAAACUUUUCCUGCCUCCUCUAACUUUUCCUUUCCUCCCAACCUGGCCACAUCCACCCUAUCCAGUUGUGUCUCCCCUUGUUCCCUUCUGCCCUCCCUACAUUCCCAUCAGCCUGGACAGAUGACAACAUCAUCGCCCUCAUGUCCCACCAUUUGCCUUUGCUCACACAGUUCCCCCUGCCUGGGAAGCCUUCCCCACCUUCAUUAAUCACAUUCCUGCACAUCCUUGAAGCCCAGCUCAGAUCCUGGCUGCUCCAGGAUGCAGUCUCUAACUGCAUCAAUUGGCACUGUCCUGGCCCUUGGCCUUCCCAGCAUGGUGCUUACACAUCUUUAAUGUGCCUCCUCUAGCAUCAGGAUCUUUCCCACCACCCCAGGCCGCCGUCCAUCUGGCCUGUAUUAGAAGGCAGCCUGCUGACAGGGAAGGAGCCUGAGGUCAGAGCUUGCAGCAGGGGAUUCAAACAUCUGUCCCCCACAGGAGCCUUCCCCAAACCUUCCAUUUCAGUCUCACCUGGAACAACAGUGACCAUCUGGUGCCAAAAGUCACCACAGGCAAGAUCUCAGGACUAUGGCUUUUCCCUACUGAAGGCAAGGAGCCCGGGGCCCUCCCAGCAACGGAGCCCUGCAGGG